This 252-nucleotide ribosomal RNA is filed under the name uncultured bacterium. RNAcentral describes it as "partial 16S ribosomal RNA". It matches the Rfam family "Bacterial small subunit ribosomal RNA", at positions 524 to 776 of the family's 1533-position model. The record is from RNAcentral.
UACAGAGGGGGCAAGCGUUAUUCGGAAUUAUUGGGCGUAAAGGGCGCGUAGGCGGCAUGGCAAGUGGAUGGUGAAAUCCCUCGGCUUAACCGAGGAACUGCCGUCCAAACUGCUUCGCUUGAGACCGGGAGAGGUGAGUGGAAUUCCCAGUGUAGCGGUGAAAUGCGUAGAUAUUGGGAGGAACACCAGUGGCGAAGGCGGCUCACUGGCCGGUACUGACGCUGAUGCGCGAAAGCGUGGGGAGCAAACGGG